This is a long non-coding RNA of Psammomys obesus (fat sand rat), 329 nucleotides long. RefSeq lists it as uncharacterized. The record is from RefSeq and is a predicted model, not a curated record. The transcript is spliced from 3 exons. NCBI's taxonomy places the organism in Eukaryota, Metazoa, Chordata, Mammalia, Rodentia, Muridae.
GUAUGUGCCUGUGUGAGGACAGAGACCAGAAGAGGAUGUUGGAUCUGCUGUAACUAGAGUCACAGGAUGAAGAAGAAUUGACACCAACAUUUAGAACUCUUUGGGAAUUGGACCUGAAGCCUCAUUUGUGCAAGAAAUCUGGAGACUCAUGUGGAUAAAAGGUGCAGACAGUAUUCCCCUGCGCCAGGCAGACCUGGAGAAGCCCCAAGACUUUUAAGCCCCUUCAGUCUAGAAAGUGCACGAGAGUGGGCGGUGCCAAGGAGGAAGUAACAGGAACUUUCUUGGAGUUCUGGCUGGCUAAGAAAGAGCUCUCACCAAAAACAAAGUUA